Molecule: ribosomal RNA, 433 nt
Filed under: uncultured bacterium
Lineage: Bacteria
Description: partial 16S ribosomal RNA
Rfam family: Bacterial small subunit ribosomal RNA
Source: RNAcentral
AACGAACGCUGGCGGCAUGCCUAACACAUGCAAGUCGAACGAGACCUUCGGGUCUAGUGGCGCACGGGUGCGUAACGCGUGGGAACCUUCCCUUAGGUUCGGAAUAACUCCCCGAAAGGGGUGCUAAUACCGGAUAAUGUCUUCGGACCAAAGAUUUAUCGCCUUUGGAUGGGCCCGCGUUGGAUUAGCUAUUUGGUAGGGUAAAAGCCUACCAAGGCGACGAUCCAUAGCUGGUCUGAGAGGAUGGUCAGCCACACUGGGACUGAGACACGGCCCAGACUCCUACGGGAGGCAGCAGUGGGGAAUAUUGGACAAUGGGCGAAAGCCUGAUCCAGCAAUGCCGCGUGAGUGAUGAAGGCCUUAGGGUUGUAAAGCUCUUUUACCCGGGAUGAUAAUGACAGUACCGGGAGAAUAAGCUCCGGCUAACUCCGUG